Molecule: long non-coding RNA, 5198 nt
Organism: Gadus macrocephalus (Pacific cod)
Lineage: Eukaryota; Metazoa; Chordata; Actinopteri; Gadiformes; Gadidae
Exons: 3
Source: RefSeq, a predicted model, not a curated record
CAUCCCAGUCCGUGCACGCGAAACAACCCCGAAGUUGUUCAAUGGCUUCGGGGGACCAGCACCGGAGAAAGGUUGUUGGUGUUUUGGAGGAUUUAACUUUUUGCCUGUAUUUUGGAAUUAGCAGCAGCAUUGCGUGGUCGGACCUGCCCAGCGGAGCCCUAGGGAAAGCACGGUAAGCCUCUCUGAUGGAGGUGUAGCAGUGGUCAAGUGUGUUGGUCCCUCUGCUGGGGCAAUUUACCUGCUGAUGGUAGCCGAGGAGCUCAGAUGAUAGGUUGGUCUGGUUAAAGUCCCCGAGGACGAUGACUGCUGUGUCCGGGUGUGAAUUUUCCACUGAGGAGACGUAGUUGGCUAACUCGGCUAUGGUGGUGUUAGCGUUAGCCUCAGGUGGAAUGUAAACACAGAUCAUAAUAAUUAAUGCGAACUCCCGUGGGAGGAAUGAUGGUCUGCAUUUGACAGUGAGGUAUUCCAGGUGAGGGGAACAUACACGUGUGAGUUCAGUAGAAUUUGUGCACCAGCGUUCAUUUAUCAUGAUGCAAACACCACCGCCUUUUGCCUUGCCCGAUAGUUUGGAAGAUCUAUCGGAACGAUGCAAUGUGAAACCUGGAAGAGUUACCGCUUGGUCUGGUACUGAUUGAUCCAGCCAGGUCUCUGUCAGGCAGAUGGCAGAGCAGUCACUGUAGUCUUUGUCGGUUUGGAUCAUAAGUUGUAAUUCGUCCAUUUUGUGCCGGAGGGAUCUUACGUUUGACAGCAGAAGGGCAGGGAGCGGUGGCCGGUAAGGGUGUCUCCUGAACCUGGCAGAGGUGCCGGAGCGGCGGCCCUUUUGGGCCGGCUGCCAUGGUGUUGAGUGGCUUGCGCUGUCGAUGUUUAAUUCCAGUAAUUUCUUCUCCAGCAAGGAUGUAGAUGGGCCCAGAUCACUCUGAGAGGUGGAUCUGAGGUUUAGAAGCUCCGAUCGGGUGUACUGGAUUAUGCACGACACUUUACAAACAAAUAACGCAGACACUAAAAUGACAGACAGGAACACUGCUUGUACUGUGGCAAGCCUCACGGCCGCCAUCUUCCUAUGCCUCAACUCCUCUCAAGAGAGAGAGAGAGAGGACAACUUGGUCUCUCAGAGCACAGCUGUAGCUGUGCUGCGGGCAAAGGCUUCUGUAGCCAUGUAACCGCUCUGCUCCUCCAGACAGCGCAUUAUGUGCAGCUGGGCCUUGAGGUGGUUCCACCUUCCCUGGUCUGUACCAGUCAACCACAGAUGUGGCAUCGACCUAGAACACAGGGAAUCCAUCAAGAGGCUGUGAGUGAACUUGUGGUGAAAAAACCCAAGUCGGUUGGGAAGAGUCAAGUCCACACUACAGAGCGUAUGCUGGGCCCCUACCAGAACAACACAUAUUGGCGUCUGGAGCAAAGCUGAGUGAGAUUCACCCUCGCCCUUUGAUGUCCCACAUCCUAGAGGGAAUAUCCAGCUUGGAAUUGGUACCAUCUCAGCUGUGCUGACCUGGAAGUUGUCAGCAAUGACCUGUUCUUUAAGGCCAGUUGCUACUCUACAACAGUAGAUGAAAAACUCAUCAAUGACUGGAAUCUUCCUUGAAGGGCUUGGUGUUGGAAUUGCCUCUUGUCCAAUCCUAUGUGCUUUGCUCCAAUAAACAAUAUAUUGUGUUGAGGGGCAAACAGACUCCCAAAACACUUGAAACACUUCUUGAGAUGGAAACCGAGUGUAAUAUUUCAUGGUCUGAUCAGACACACAAAAUCUGUUGAGGACAGUUUGUGGCCCCAUGGAUAUUUCUUGCAGCUUUGCCUCCAGCUCAGCAAUAUACUCCAGGGCAUCAUCCAGUGCACCUACAAAAAAAGAAUACAAAUCAGUCUUCAUUACCAUUCAUUAGUAUUCACCCUUUAUUUUUAUUGUAUUGUUAUUCUGUAUACUUAAGUUUAUUUAUAUUUAUUAUUAUUUAUUUAUUUGUACUGUUUUUUGUUUUUCUUUUUUUAUAUAUUAACAAUAGGUUAAAUGUUGAGUGUUGUACAUAGAGGGCAAAAACCAAAGUCAAAUUCCUCGUUUCUUCGCAAACCUGGCCAAUAAAGCUGAAUCUGAAUCUGAUUUAAUAUGCAACCCCAGUUUAACAGAACGUCUGAUGUUGAUUGAAUGUUUUACAAUAACCAUGCCAUGUUUGGCAAAAGUAUACAAUAGCCCAACAAGUGUUGAACACAAAUAACAGACAUAACAGCUAGUUAGCACACAUCUACUUACCGGCAGGGGGGCGUGUCGCGUAGUCAUGUUCCCCGGUACCUCUCCGGUCCAUUUGUGUUUUGUCCUCUCCUUCAGCUUUUUGAGCUGACACCCAUUUCUACACAGGUGUUUUCUUCGGGGCUGUGGUGUAGCUGUUCCAGUCAAAACGACUGGGAACAGCUCCAGUAUUCAGCGUAGCACUCCCGUCGUUAUAAUCAGCCGCUGAGAAAUGCCGACUACAGACCAGUGUACUCCCCUUCUGAAUUACGAAAUUAACUCCGUCUGAUUGCCCUGACCCACUGCUGUAUAGGGUAUUAGUUGGGAAGUCUUGGAAAGGUAAAUACGGUUGUUUUUGUUUUGAAUUGGCGCAUAGAGGUACACAACAGAAGCUUUUGUUUUUUGACUGCGCCAUUGUCAAAUAUCAUGGACUACUCGACCGGAAGUCCCUUUACCCAGUGAAUGCAAAAUCGAACGCCGAACCAGGAAGUUGUGAGAUAGGCCUAUUGGAACGCAAACUCCUUAUACCAGCUCCAGAUGACCCUUAAUCUGAUCAUCUUCAGGAUAUUCUACAGGUCUUCUCGGGCCGUAGUGGUAGGCCUCCUGCCUGACCUUCAGGACAGGACCCAAUAGCUGAACAAGGAGGUUUUCAGAACAGUCCAGACCUUCACCGCAUGUGAACGUGUUGUAAGUCCGAUCCGGGGUCAUUUAGAUUUACAACAAUUCAGGACAUUUUCAAACCAGAUUUCUUUGGUUUCAGAGCAUGUUUUUAGCAGCUGUCAAUUCUGAGAAGCCUUUAGUUCUCUGCAUUCUUAGUUCUAAAAUGCCUGGAUAAAUCCUCCAGCAGACUCAUUUGCACGCAAAUACUUCCAUUACUUUAUACAAUGAAUUUAAUCUAGCAUGUAGAGCUGGAUUCCCCCGCUGACUUGAUUAUCUACAUGCCGUGUGCCAGAGCAGUUCUCUGGCCGUCGCAGCACACUGAACAAGUACAAUGUCUGAUCAGGUACCAGAUAUGGCUGGGGGACAAGACGGUUUCAAUUUAAAGCAAUUUAGGGCUUGAUUUGAAAAUGGGCUGGGUUAAAACAGUGUUAUUUUUGGGGCCUUGAGAAACAGCCUUCCUGAGCAGAGUACAGGCCACCAGCUGGGAGGCUCUCUGGGCUGAUUGUUUCCUCUACGUCUCUCUCCUAUUAGCCCCAGUCAUCUGAAUUAUUGAUGUAUCGUUUUCAGGGCUGUUGGUUUUUUCUCUCCUCCCAAGUGACAGAUGGCUUGUGUUGUUAAGUAAUUUCUCUUCUCUCUCUCCUCCCUCAUCCCCCCUUUCUCCUCCCUCUCCCCCCUCUGUCCUUCUUUGACAUUGUGGUAACAAAUGUAUCGCAGGAUAAAAGGAAGUGUUAACUCUUCUUCCUGCGUUGUGUUUACAGGCCAUCUCCAUAGGCUUGACUGUGAACAACAAGUAUUGUCACGCAUCGCAGUGCCAUCCAUUUUGACCCCUCAUAUUGUGACGUUGACCCGGCUCUCCGUGGCUCGUCUGGUAUUUCCACCAGGAGCCUCUUUGGUUGACUACAGCCGUAAUGGUUUUGUCAUUCAGGGUAUCCUGAAUUUCACUCCUUUUGUUUGCCUCGAAGACUUCUUUCUCGUCAAUACUCAGCAGCAUUGUCGAUAUCUGUUUGUCAUUCUUCUGAAUUGACUGGAGCUGGUACUCUAGUGAGCAACCGGUUCCUUCCAGCCUCAGAUGCACAGUCCUUACUGCACAGCAUUCAAAUGUGGAUUUGAAAUGUGAAUGUCAACCAUACAAAUGUAGCUUUGAAGCAGCACUGCUUUCUUUCUUACAGCACUCUGACUCUCAGACUUUGCAGAAGUUGCAUUGUACGACCCUUCGUAUUAUCAACUGCAUUUUCUGAAAGCACCAAUAGUCUCAUCCCAGGGCUAUAGUCACAUCCCAGGGCUAUAGUCUCAUCCCAGGGCUAUAGUCUCAUCCCAGGGCUAUAGUCUCAUCCUAGGGCUAUAGUCUCAUCCUAGGGCUAUAGUAUCAUCACAGGGCAAUAGUCUUAUCCCAGGGCAAUAGUCUCAUCAUCACAGGGCUAUAUUCUCACCAGAAGGCUGUAGUCUCAUCAGAGGGCUAUGCUAUCAUCCUCACAGGGCUAUAGUUUCAUCACAGGGCUUUAGUCUCAUCAUAGGGCUAUACUCUCAUCAUCACAGGACUAUAGUCUCAUCACAGGGCUUUAGUCUCAUCAGAGGGCUAUACUCUCAUUAUCACAGGGCUAUAGUCUCUAUCACAUGGCUAUAGUCUCAUCACAGGGUUAUAGUCUCAUCAGAGGGCUAUACUCUCAUCAUCACAGGGCUAUAGUCUCAUUAGAGGGCUCUAGGCUCAUCAGAGGGCUAUACUCAUCACAGGGCUAUACUCUCAUCAUCCCAGGGCUAUAGUCUCAUCAUCACAGGGCUAUAGUCUCAUCCCAGGGCCCUGUGAUCAAGGUCCCCCCCCUGUAUGAAUGAUCUCUUUGUCCUUGCACUGCGAGUCAUGUAAAGUUAUUUCAUUAGUAACACGCUAUUUUUCCAUUCAUACUUAGUUUAUGUAAAUCAUUAAUCUUUUAAUGCGUUCAGAACCCUUGUCUAUGCAUAACAUAUCAAGUGGGGCAAGGCACAGGGCAGCAGCACUGAAGGUUGCUCUACAGUCUGAAUGUUUGAACACAACAACAUCAAAAAGCAGAUAGGCCUACCUAGGAUCCCGUAUGUAGAAGUCUUUGUAAUACACCGGGCAGAGCAACAUCAACUACGCUGGACUUAAGUCUGACUUAAUGUUUUAUAAUAUAUGUUUUAUUAAAUUCGUUAGCUUUGCCAACGAAUUUAGUCAUCGAUUCGUUGAGUCGCGCGAUUAAUACGCAAAGUCACUCGUAGGCGCGGAACUGGUAACUGACGCCGGCAGGUCCAUGCUUCAUGCGUGCCCACAGCGACCCUACGAGCGCUAUAGUAUGAGCGACGACUGCUUUUA